RNAcentral lists this ribosomal RNA (16 nucleotides) under Drepanocladus lycopodioides. RNAcentral's name for it is "partial 18S ribosomal RNA". The record is from RNAcentral. Lineage: Eukaryota; Viridiplantae; Streptophyta; Bryopsida; Hypnales; Amblystegiaceae.
UUGCACACACGAGUUG